RNAcentral lists this transfer RNA (78 nucleotides) under Flavobacteriaceae bacterium. Its description in RNAcentral is "tRNA-Pro". It matches the Rfam family "tRNA". Rfam says of the family: Transfer RNA (tRNA) molecules are approximately 80 nucleotides in length. Their secondary structure includes four short double-helical elements and three loops (D, anti-codon, and T loops). Lineage: Bacteria; Pseudomonadati; Bacteroidota; Flavobacteriia; Flavobacteriales; Flavobacteriaceae. The record is from RNAcentral.
CGGGGUGUAGCGAAGCCCGGUUAUCGCGCCUGCUUUGGGAGCAGGAGAUCGUAGGUUCGAAUCCUGCCACCCCGACCA